RNAcentral lists this small nucleolar RNA (136 nucleotides) under Drosophila ananassae. RNAcentral describes it as "snoRNA:GF26144". The record is from RNAcentral. Lineage: Eukaryota; Metazoa; Arthropoda; Insecta; Diptera; Drosophilidae.
UCUGGAGACAAAGUUUACAUGUUGAAGUCCAUAGAAUCUUCCUCGUGUCUACAACGCUCCUAGAACAGCCUCCAACUCGAACGGCACAUCCUCUGUAAUGAAUUAUAUUUCAGUAGACGACUUGUGUUUGAGUACA